Molecule: non-coding RNA, 22 nt
Filed under: Arabidopsis thaliana (thale cress)
Lineage: Eukaryota; Viridiplantae; Streptophyta; Magnoliopsida; Brassicales; Brassicaceae
Source: RNAcentral
AUAAGAAUAAGAGAGGAGACUC